Molecule: ribosomal RNA, 254 nt
Filed under: uncultured bacterium
Lineage: Bacteria
Description: partial 16S ribosomal RNA
Rfam family: Bacterial small subunit ribosomal RNA
Source: RNAcentral
UACGGGGGGGGCAAGCGUUGUUCGGAAUUACUGGGCGUAAAGGGCUCGUAGGCGGCCAACUAAGUCAGACGUGAAAUCCCUCGGCUUAACCGGGGAACUGCGUCUGAUACUGGAUGGCUUGAGUUUGGGAGAGGGAUGCGGAAUUCCAGGUGUAGCGGUGAAAUGCGUAGAUAUCUGGAGGAACACCGGUGGCGAAGGCGGCAUCCUGGACCGACAUUGACGCUGAGGCGCGAAAGCCAGGGGAGCAAACGGGG